UUGUCUUCUAAAAGGAAGGAAAACUAUUUCUCUUCGGAAAGUUCAGGUUGCAUCUAAAAAUUUUUCUAUUCUUCUACAUGAUUAAGGAUCAAAUUCUUACAUGAAUAGUAGCAGAACCAGAGAUCAAAUCUCAAAUUAUCUGAAUUAAACCUUUACGGAGGCCUAGAUGUGCAGACCCUCUACUUCGCAUGCACGCCAGAUGUCGCAACAAAAUAGGAUGAACUCCAUUCCAUUCACCUUCGUAACUCAAUCAAAUAAGGGAGAAGAUGUGCUGGUGUGAUACCUUGCACCAGUAGGUGGGACGUCCAAAAAGGAUCCACGCCCAAGGGAAGAGGGGCGGCACCAAAAGGGAAUAGACCAAUGGAAGAAGAAGGCUCUUCUCUUCUCAUGCCUCUCUCUCUCUUUCUCUCUUCUCUCAAUCUUAUUUAUUUGCUAUGCAUCUAUAGGUAGAGACCCUCUCUAUUUAUAGAUAAUUUCUAUGACCCAAUAAGUAUAGGAGUCCUAACUCAAAUCUGAUUUGAAUUAGUCCAGUAUUCAUGAAAGAAGGAUUCCUACAUGAGAUAGAAUUGCCAUCACUUAUGAUAACCACUUUACACCCACUCUCUCACCCAUAUGGGAUGCCCCAAACUAGCACCAUUCUAGGUAUUGGUCAGCCC
Molecule: long non-coding RNA, 656 nt
Filed under: Elaeis guineensis (African oil palm)
Lineage: Eukaryota; Viridiplantae; Streptophyta; Magnoliopsida; Arecales; Arecaceae
Description: long non-coding RNA (EGUI_LNC044344)
Source: RNAcentral